Molecule: ribosomal RNA, 253 nt
Filed under: uncultured bacterium
Lineage: Bacteria
Description: partial 16S ribosomal RNA
Rfam family: Bacterial small subunit ribosomal RNA
Source: RNAcentral
UACGGAGGAUGCAAGCGUUAUCCGGAAUUAUUGGGCGUAAAGCGUCCGUAGGUGGUUGAGUAAGUCUGCUGUUAAAGCGUGGAGCUUAACUCCAUAUCGGCAGUGGAAACUAAUUGACUUGAGUGCGGUAGGGGUCAGGCGAAUUCCCAGUGUAGCGGUGAAAUGCGUAGAUAUGGGGAAGAACACCGGUGGCGAAAGCGCCUGACUGGGGCUGAACUGACACUGAGGGACGCAAGCUAGGGGAGCGAAAGGG